UACCUCCUUUAGAUAGAUAGAGCCCUGUGCUCUUAAUGUAGAGCUAUAACUACUACAACCGUGGAAUCCGCGAUCACACAUGAGUACCUCGCCUUUCAAAAAAAGCAGCUGCUAAUUGGCACUAAUGCUAAUGGGGACCAUCGAUCAAGAAGGACUUCAGGGACUGCAAUCAAAUAAAAUAUAUAUAUAUAAAUAUGAAGCCAACUCUUCUAGUUGCGCCUCUAACCUUACUACGCUACCCAACCAGCUGAUAAAAGGUCUAAUUCAGUAGGGCUAGAGGCACGAAAUGCCGAUCAAACCCGUUAAAGGAAGCCUAAUCAAAGCAGGCAAACAAGAAGAUCUGACUGAGUUGAUGAUGGACCGGAUCUCGAAAGGUGGGAGACUUUGAUAAAGACGUAUGAGAAAGGGAGGGUCGAGAGAGGCUUAUUGCACGAUCCACCCAACUCAGCUAGGCUAAUAAAUGCUGCAUAAGAGAGUGGGAGGCUGGCCCCUGCCCAUUUGGAGGUGCACACCCAUUUAGGAACAUAUGCAAAGGGGUAAAGAAAGAAGUUAAUGGAGAACUACCAAAUCUAAUAACUUUGAUUUGUUCGUAUCAUUCUGUCAUCGAUCACUACUGGGUCGGUUGGUGAGUCACCCUAAAAAAAGCAUCAAGAAAGAUCAAGCAUAUAUGUUUUAUGAAAUGAUCAGCAGUCUCAUUUAUGCUAUGCCCUGCGUCGUGUUCGUGUGUGUUUAUUGAGCUUUCUUCACUUCAGUGCCACGCGCUUUGCUUCGCUUUAUAGAAGAGAGAGACCGUUGUCUUGAGAGUGAAAAGAAAGCGCAAGCGAUAGAAAGGAUAGUCCCUCGCGCGUUCGCGCGAACUACUAGAAAAUGGUGAGAUCAUUAGAUCAUUAGUGAAAGAAGGACCAACGACGAUGAAGGUUACGAAGGAGAAGGAGGAGUCAGUCUUCUUUGAAGAUCGAGGAAAAAAUCAGACAAUUAUGCCAUUCGACAGAAGUCUUCUACAGAAGGAAAGCCUGUAUCGAGUAAGUGGAGAGGAAAGAUCCCCAGAGAUUCCUAUCUUAUUCCAUUCCAGUGGCUCGACCAAUAACCAAUGGCGAAAACUAAAAAAUCCAUGGUUUCCCGGUAGAACCCCAUUUCGCCCAAGUUAUUGCGGAACCGAAAAAAAGAAGCAAUUUUUCGUACAGCUUGCUCAUAGUGCAGGUUCCACUUGUAUAUUGUAUUUGGCCGAAAAAGCAUGGACAGGUUGGAGUUCUUACCUUCUUGGGACUCCAUGGACCAAGAUCUGCUUUCAUUAUAUGGGCAAUACCGAUCUACUUUAGUAGAUCAUAUGGAUAUAGAAAAAGCUUCUGAUUUUGAUGAAUUCUAGACAUCUCUUUUCCAUUUCUAUUUACCUAGUUCAUAUCUUUGUUUCGUGUGUUCCCAAGAGGAAUUCGAUCUCUUCAAUCUCGGGAUACAACUUAAAUAAUUACGGCCAAAAAGUAAAAUAGGUUGGGAAGAAAGAGUCUGAGGUUGGGUCGGACGACAUACAUCUUGGUUGGUUCCAGCACCAACUUUCUUUAUGUGAGUGAUUUUAACCCUUAGAUUCUCCAAAAACAUCUUUAGCCAUUCUUUUAAUGCAAUUGGCCAUCUUAUACCACAUCACAGAGGUUUCUUCCUAAAAAUUCCAUUUCCCUUCCUCGUUAUAAAGAGAAAGUCAUUUGGCAUACCUGCAUGGAUUAGAUGUCCAGAUAAACCCCCUGACCUCGGAAGUCUUUUGACCUCACUCACAUGAUCAGCAAAUGGGAAGCUUGAAAAAGCGGCUUUUCACUCCUCUCCUUACAGUCGAGUGGCUUUCACUCCUUCUUUCGUAAAAUAAAGCAAAACGGCUGCUGCAACUACAGGUGAAUAUGGCACGGCUCUUGUAUGAUGGAGAAAAAAUGACCAGAAUCAAAAGAUAGACCAAAUUCAAUGGAGGAUGGGGAGUAUGGCUGAGAUUCCAAAUCUUAAGAGAUUGAAAGAGUGUAGGGGACAUAUUCUACAUCUUAAUAGCCCCAUGCUUUAUUAGCACAGUGUUAGAGAAGGGAGGACCGAACAAUAUGACAGGGCAAGAGCUCCACUUAGCUUAGUUAGGAAGGCAAUAUUUUGCGUGCUAAGGCGCGCGUAAGCAUCAAAGCCAUAGCAUGAUAGGAAAGAAUAUUAGUCUGGACGGCGGGGAAGAUAGUUCAUAUGAUUUUUCCAAAGAAUGAUUCUACAAUCGUACAUAAUACAAUACAAAAUCGAUUUUUUGACGCGAGAAGACGGUGGAGAAAUAAUAACAGCAGGCAUUGAGAGGACACAUACUAAAUGGUCUACCUACUUCGUUAUAAUGGUUCCUGAUGAGAACUACCUAGAUGCUGCAUCAAGGUUGGUUGUUAGGAAUGGGGUAAAAAUGUAGUUUACGUUUCAACUGGAUCAGUUCGCCUGCAGGGACGAAUGAAGGAAUGCUUUUCUUUGGAGAGAUAAAUCCUGUUCCCUUCACCGCUCUGUGGGCUUCUGGGUAAACUGAUGGUGGGUAUCAAUAGAUCUCUUUUCCACCUAGGUUAAAGGGGUAUGCCGCUAUAUAUGCUACACCAAAGUAUGCUCCUAGCUAAGCUACUGGCUUUGGAUCUGCCUCUCGAGCACGAAGGUCAUAUUCAAUUCAUAAGGCUAUCGAUCAUGAAGGUUUGCCUAUGGCUCUGUAUCUAUCUCUGUCUGCUGGUGCUUAUUUUGGUAAGCUGCAGGAUCAACAACUGGAUCAGUUGGAACUACAAAAGGCUAUGGCUAUGGAACUUUUUUGGAUACUUAACAAGGUGCUGGAUCAACCGGUGAUACUUCCUAUGCCGAGAGCACCAAUAGAUAGCUUAGAGAACAGGUCUAGUUAAAGCCCACCGGCAGUGAGCCAGGAGUACGAAUAGACAAUAGGGGGUUCAUUUGCUUUUAUCCUGUCUAGAUAAGAGAUUUGAAGGUCGAUAAGGAGUUGGUAAGCGCAUUGACUUGAGUUCUCCUCCGCCGGUCUUGAUGUUGGAACCAAUCCACGGAAUGGGGGAAUAAGAAGAUAAGGAAACAGGAUUCAUUGGUGGUCCAUUCUUCCCGGUGCCUCGAUAGGCGGGAAGAAGAAAAAAUGUAGUGAAGAGAAGCGUAGGAGGCUAUGGGUAUAGCAUCCUAACGUAGGAGUGAAGCACGUUGUCUUACUCUGGAAAGCUCAUCUCGGCCUUCAUUAAGUAAAUGGGCUUAGUCAGACCAACCAUAAUGUAAGUAAGAAGAAUGGCGGUGGUCUUCCAAGAAGCCGAGAUGGCAGAAUAGCACGAAGCGAGAAUCUUACUUUAGAGCAGCUCUUGAAUAAGUAAGUGUUCCGCAAGUGUAGGUGAAGAAUUAUCCGACUUUCUUCUAAGAGUGGGUCUGUCUAAUCAAAUAAGAGAUCAAACAAACUCCUCUUCUUCGAACUAGUCAUUAAUGGUAGGUUCAUAUGGGUAUCCUUUUCCUUUUAUGGCGAACCGAAAGGUCGUUAGUGAAUAUAACAUGAAAGCACAGUGUUCUCAGUGUUUUCUUUACAGAUAUUGCCUUUCCUAUGAAGAUAUUUGGUUGAGGUUAGAAUUUGGUCAUUCUUUUGAAUUGACUUUGCGCUUUCACGGGCGGAUCUGUCAACCAUAUGUUAAUCGUGCGUGUUCUAAACUAGAAGCCGAAUGUCGACUGCUACCUACCGGUUUGGCGGAAGAAAUCGACAUGAGGUAGGAAGCCGAGUAGGAGCACCCAAUGACAUCCGUUACAUGACCACUUCAUUUAGUCGUAUCCAUCGGCAAAGAUGGAAUGUUUACAAAUAACAGAUGGUCAGACAGUGGUAACUGCACUGUGUGACCGGGAUAGAGUCUUCCGAUCGCGUAAAAGAGAAAGUUUUCAUAGUCCGUAGGUCAAGUCCAAUAAGAAGUUGUUUGUUUAGCCUUCGGUCUUUUAAACUAGAAAUUUUAUUGUGAGCCGUUAUGUCACUGAUACUCUUGAGUACGCAACUGAAGGAAUAUCACUCUUAGCUCUUGUUUAACUACCAUGCAUGUAUUUGUUUAGAUAAGUCUACCUAAGGUAAGACCCAUGGAAAGAAGCUAACUCCAAGUACAAAAAAUGAAGGACAGACUAACUCACCGGAUAAGACCUCAGGACUGGUCUAUAAAGCCUAAAAAAAAAUCUACUAAAUGAAUUGAGUUGUGCCAAAGGAGCAAAACGGCCAACUAUUAAUGGAAUUCCUUGUCGGCUUUUUUUAGAAUACUCAUUUGGCCGAGAGCUCCCAAACCUAUACCAGAAGAGGAAGCUAAACCCGUGCUGACGAAUAACUAACCCCCUUAAUUCGUUGAGUAAAUAGGAAAGGUAUAGGUUUGCUAUGAAUGACCUAGUCUCGAAUACUGGUAAAAAUAUUCGCAAAAGAACGUUCUCCCGUGCUUCAAGACAUGCUGAGCUCCACAUAUUCAUGGACAGUAAAAGGGGGGAUUGAUUCUGUGAAAGAUAGGAUCAGUAAAUGGAAAUUCACUGAGAUUUAAUAUUUGUGAGAUCUUCAAUAGUGGUACCGAGGGUGUCUUUAGAGUGUACCGAAUCAGUAUAGCUAUCCUUCUUUUGACCCAGUAACGCAAUUUCAAUCAGUAUAGAAAAGAAGUGAUACAAUAUUUCUUUCUUCUUUUUUUUUGCUUGUUAUGUUAAUGCAGAACCAUGUGCCAUUCAAUAGGAAAAUGCCUCUCCUGUAGUAUAGGGUUUCUUUCCAUUACUGGCUUCAGACUAGAAAGUGAAGAUUUGGUAAAGUGUGAGUCCGACGAGUGGGGUUCUAAUAAUUCAUGAAAGAUAUUUUCAUAUUCCCAAAAUUGAAUUAGAUGCGAAAUCUAUAAAGCCCCUUUUCGUGGUUGUAGAAAAGGUUUUUUUGUUCGAAUCCUUUCAUUUUAAGGAAUUGGUUGGUCGUAACAAGUAUUAUAGUAUAUAGUCUUCGAUAAAAGAAACAAAACAAACAAUAAAAUAAUUGGAACAAUUAAUAUUCGUGAUGCAAGCAUUGCUGUAUUAGAUCUAAAGGUUUUUCUUAACCUAGCUACAAGGAUGGGACUCUAAAAUAUUGAAAGAAAAAAUGUAGAACCUAAAAGGAAAAGAACAUAGGAAUUACUAGUCUUAGAAUCGAGUUAGACCAAAAUAAAGGUUUGAUUUCUUCGAGCGAUCGUGCGAUACUUUUUUUCUUCUUAUUCGAGAUAUUAUGUGCAAUUAAUAAACCUAUUACUGAAUCUAAUAAGUUAAAGUAAAGUUAAAGUGUUAGUUGGUUGUUGUUCGUUCUAAAAUAGAAAAUGGAUUUGAUACAAUUUAUUUAUUUUAUUUUAGUUCCCAUAUCUCGAAAAUGGGGUCUGUUGAUUCGUAAUCACGCUCUGUAGGAUUUGAACCUACGACAUCGGGUUUUAGAGACCCACGUUCUACCUAACUGAACUAAGAGCGCUUUCUUAUCAUAGUAGAUACAAUUGUAAAGAAAAGGAUGAUUUUUGUACCUUCACUACAUCUUGCAUGCAUCUAGUAUCAUUAAAUUAAAAAUUUGUCAUGUCUUGAAUCGAUCUUAACCUUCGUUACUACCCAGAGGAGAAGGUAGGGAUGACAAGAUUGGAACCCGUGACAUUUUGUAUCCAAUCCAAAACAAAGACGCUACCAAGCUGCGCCACAUCCCUUUCAAUUGGUCUACGGUGUCAUUGUAGAGAGUCUCUGCCCUGUUUUCCACAUCAUUAUUUCCUCCAUCAAUAUCCAAUUUAUCUUGCCAUUUCUUCUUUUUGGUUUUCAUUUUUUUAUAUACUAAAUAUCAUCCCGCCGCUCCUACCAACGCUUACUUAUGAGAAAAAAGGGUUAAAAAAAUUAGCCUUUUGAAUAAGCGAGGCUUUCCCGAUAGAAAUAGUUGUAUGCGAGGAGAUCCCAAUUCCGUGUAUCCGGUUAAGCAAGCCUUGCCACUAGCUUCCACCCAGACAAAAAACAUGAGCGCCUAGCAUGAAAGGUUGCUUUACUAAAUAAUAUAAGGUGCGUUAGCGCUUUAAUUUUCAACAAGGGGCGGAGCUUGAAGAAGCGAAGUGAGCCUAGAGUAGCAGCCUAUUACGUUUUUCAGGCCCCUUUACUUGAUAUUCUAUUAGUAAAGCGCUAGCACCCCUAUAGAGUAAGGGUCUUCUGCUAUCAAUGAAACUGAAAGCAAAAAUCCAGUGCAUUUUGUAUAGAUCGAGACUUGUAGCUUGAUUCUUUAGUCAUUCCAUACUGGGAAGAAUUACAGGAAAUCAUUCAAUUCUUCCUAUUUCUCAAUGAUAUCUGACGAUCAAGACAAUUACCAUGAAACUUUUUCAUUUCAUAGAAGUGAAUUCUUAUUCUUACAAAGCAAAUAACAUUUCCUAUUGAUUUGUCCCCUGGACUGGAUCUAUUCUUCUUUUUAAUUAUCCGUCGCUACGCUGAUCCUAAGGACUGGCAAAAUCGAAAUAGCGAAUGAGGUAAGGACCUCUUCUCUCUGACGUAGCCAAAGUGAGAACCAUUCGACUGAGGUCGAGAUCUAAGCCGGUCUAUAGCACAGGUGCUACAGUGAAAGAUUCCGCCGUAGCUAGAUGCCUUGAAGAAAGAGCAAAAAGACUCACUUUGGGUCCAUAGCUCCAGUCAAAAUGGUUCUUCCCCCCCUUUUAAAGAAAGCCCUGAUCGUUGACCACCCUUUUGCCAUUCUUUUUCCAAUGAGGAGUCCGACCGAUGAACCUUGGGAGCAUUCCGGGCAAGAUCUAUGGCUUCAGCUACGGCUAAGUGAACUACCUAUUAUAUAUAUUCUUGAGAAGUGAAUAUGAGAGAAAAAGCUUUCACAUCACAUAGUGGAAGGCUGGCCUUCUCUCUUCCCAAUUCUCCCAAUGAGACCUCUUUCACUCACUUAGUGGACGACCCAGAGGAUGUGAAUAAAGCCCUCUUUUGUCUCAUCCUGAUCCCCCUGAAAAGAGAGUGAAGUAGCGGCUCCGCUCCGUCUUAUUACUGGGGUGGAGUCGAAGCUAUGGCACCAGAUAAUCAAAGAGAUUCCUUCCCGAACCACUCGUGUAGUCUUCUUCCUGCCUCCCAGUUAGACCCUAUCUCGCUUUCCAAGUCUCAUUUGAAUGAGGCGCCGCCGCUACUAAAUGCAACUCUCUUUUCAACAUUCUUUCUCCUCUAUUGGAAUUCCUUCUCUAUCUGCCUAGAGAACCUCUCUUUCCCUACAAGGUACUAGAAGGUCGACCCCACUUUCCACACUAUGUUGACUUGACUCCUGAGCCCAGCCAUUCCCCGCCACUCUUUCACACUGCAGCAAGGGCUUUGUCAUAAGAAGCAACACUCUCUUGUCCACUUCGAUAGCAUUCUAGAGUCUCUUUCAUACAUCGUUCCGGGGUUCGGGACCCCCUUCUGGCGGGCCUUCUUUCCUCUGCUUCCUUGUGCUUUUGAGAUUGCUAGAAAGUUUCCAUUGACUGAUUCACCAAGCCAAGCAUUGGAGCAAGCGAGGAAGAUCGCUUUUUCCAUAAAAAAAGUAUGGGAAUAGGACCCCAACUUCGAAAUCAAUUCCAACCUUUCACCUGGUCGCUAACCUAUUUUUUUGAGUCCCUUUGUUCUCCAUUCUUUCCUGCCAGUAGUGUAGGUGGAGGACUUUAUUUACGCUAUUUCAUCAAAUGAUAAGUUUAUAGGCAUGGACAAAAAGACAUUCUUUCCUACUUACUAUGGGUAGCUGCGUUCCCUAGAAGAUCUUGGCAUCAAAGAUCCUUUUCCCGAAGAAAAAAAAGACCCCACUGUGGUGGAGCAGAAGGUGAGAGUACUGUCAGACUAUUUUCCUACGUGUGAUUGGUCCAGAUUCAUUUUCCUUACCAACCCCAGCUCAACCUAGCACGACCAGUACAAAUGCCCUAGUUCGACUCAGGUCUGUAACACCCCUUACCCGUACCCGAGGCCGGGAUAAGGUACGAGGCGUUACCGAACAAACAUACAAACAUUAAACUAAAAUACGGCCCAUAAAAUUUCAUUCAUAUUUCAAAACGUUCAUUCACUUACACAUAGUCCCUUAUUUGAGUCUACGAAGCCCAAAACAUACUUUAGAAAGGGUUCGGGACUAAACUGAGAACUUACAAAAAUCUUGGAAAUUUCAUACUUUAAGGCUCCACACGCCCGUGUCCCAAAGUUGUAUUCCAUACACGGCUGAGACACAUGGUCGUGUCUCUGCCUGUGUAGAAUAUACCUAGGCUAUUUUCCAAGCAUUGGUCAACAUUAAUCUCUUACACACUUAUACAAAAUCAAAAGCAUAUAACAUGGUAUUCAUUUAAUGAUUAAACAUUCUCAAUUAAACCACAAACAUAGCAUUUGUAUGUCAUCAUACAUGUGUCUCUCAUACUUAUUUUACCUUGUCUAUUAUAGUAUCACUUAUACAUUUAUACCAAUAUUAUCAUCUUACCAAGUAUCUUCAGCUUAAUCAUCAAGCAUUCAUAUUUAAAGCUAGAUCAUAUCUUUAUAAAAUACCACAAUUUAGAUGCGUAGAAUAACAUGUUUGCCUGAAACAUUUUAAUUCAACUCCAUACCCUACAAGCAUUACAUUGAGACUAGUCAUAUAUAUAUACAUGUCAUGAUACAUAUCAUUCUCUUUCUGUUUUCUUAUAAACACAUAUCAUUUAUUUCAUUAUAUCAAUAUUUCAUAUACCAUAGUUUCCAUGUAUUCCACAUAUAUUUAUUUUCCUCCUCCUCCUCUCCAUUCCACAUCCUUAAUGUAUAUAGCAUUCUUGUAAGUACGAUUUCACAAUUUACUGAUAAAUGCUCACAUCAAACUAUCCACACGAGUCAUAGUCACUUAUUUAUAAUUCGAGCUACAGAGGUCCAAAUUAAUAUCCGUAAAUUUCCCAUAAAACUAGACUCACAUAUCGUUCCACCAUAAAAUUUUCAUAAUUUUUAGUUUAGCCAAUUAGUACAGUUUAUUUAUUAAAUCUUCCCCUAUUUCACUUUCUGAUAGUUCUGUCCUCUCUUCACUAAAAAUUAAUUAUCUCAUAGUACAGAACUCGGAUAAUGUUCUUGUUGAUUUAUAUUGAAAGUAGACUCAUUAUGAAUUUUAAAAAUAUAAGUUUGAGCCUUUAAUUAUUUUUCUCCAAAUUUUUGUGAUUUUCCAAAGUCAAAAUAGGGGAUCACACAAUCAUUCAGAACCAGUCUCACAAAAACAUAAAUAUCUAAAAAUAUAGAACUCCUUUGCUUUCUCUGUUUCUUUUAUAUGAAAAUAUACUUAUUAAUCUUUAAUUUUAUAUCUGAUUCAGUCUCUUAUUCAAUUUAUACUAUUUUUGGUGAUUUUUCAAAAUCACGUCACUGCUACUGUCCAAAACAGUUUUAUUGCUAAUUCACUCUUUCACACUUUCUUUGUAUUAACCUUAUUUUAACAUACAUAUCACAAAUCAUUUUCACCAUAUUUCAUACAUCACAAGUAUAGGCCCAUGAUCACAAGAUCACCAUAAAAUCAUCCUCAUGUAUAACUUACUUGUUUAUAACCUUACCACAUCCUGGUCACUUAAUGAACACAUCAUUCACAUAACCAAGUUCAUGCACUUAUUCAUCACAAAACUCACAAAGCAAUACAUAGAGAGUCUCCCGUUGAACACUUCGGAUCAAUCCUCAAUACUUGGUGGUUUCAGCACAUAGCUCCACCCAUCAUAGAGUUCGGCUCUCUUGUACACAUGGUGAACACUCAGUACCACCCAUGUGACCUAGCCAAUUUAUCUCGUAGCUCUCUUGUCUACAUGGUGUCCUUCACCUGGAGCCACGCAUGCGACCUAGCUACAUAUAUCCCGUAGCUCUCUUGUCUACAUGGUGUACACAUAGUAUCACCCAUGCGACCUAGCUACAUCAUAAUGUCUUGUAGCUCUCUUGUACACAUGAUGUGCACUCAGCACCAUACAUGUGACCUAGCUACAUACUAUCUGUAUCAUCCAAUCUUUCCGAAGGUUCAACCGGGAUUUCUCUCUCUUUUCCAACAAUUUCACCAAUCAAGUAAUUAUCCACAAACAUAUUUCCAAUAUUAUUAUAAAAUAUCAUAAUACAAGUAAUAUUGAUGUAUUACUUACAUAUUGAUGUAUUACUUACAUAUAAACUUACAUCUCAUUUAAUAUCAAGGCAAUAACAUUAAAUUACACAUUGCCUUAUUAAAAAUCAUAUGAACUUACAAUUUCCCAUAAUAUCCAUAAUCAUAGAAAUCACAUUUAUGUAUGAUAAUUCAAUGCACUUCAUGUACCAUAGACAUAUUUUUAAAUCAAUUUAUAAACUUGGCACCAUAAUCAUUUAAUUUAACAUAACUCAAUUAAUUCACUAAAUUUAACUUUCAAAUAUAAAUUACAGCAUUAUUGCUGUAUUAUUAUCAUACCAACUUACAUACUUUCAAUACCUCGAAAAUCAUAGUAAAUAUAUCAAUUUUACAUUAAAACAUGCGUAAAUUAAUGCUUAUUAUACAUAUGAACUUACCUCGAUACUAAAACGACCAUUUAACUAACUUUCCAAAUUUUCGAUUUUUCUCUCAUUCUAGGUUCAAAUCUCAUUUUUCGGGAUCUAAAACAUCAUAUUUUACUUAUUUAAUUAAUGUACUAUUCAAAACAGUCCUUAACUCAAACUUUGAAAAAUUUAUAAUUUUUCCCCUAAACUUUUGCAUAUUUAUGCUUUUGCCCCUAGGCUCGAGAAUUAAACUUCAUCCCUUAUUCUUAUGUUUUAUGACAUGCUAAUCACUUUUCUCUUCUAUGGAAACAUCAAAUUCUCACUCUAACAUAUACUUAUGACUAUUAGGUAUUUUUACCGAUUAAGCCCUUUUACUCGUUUUCACUCAAAAUUGAGUAGCACAAGUUGUCUAACAUAAUUUAAAACCUCAUGUACUCUCAUAAAAUGUCAAAACAAACACAUUUCACCUAUGGGUAUUUUCCAAAUAUGAACCCUAGCUUAAAUUAUUGCUAGAAUAAGCUUAAUCAAAUUACCGGGAUUCCAAAACGUAAAGAACUUGAAAAACAGGGUUAGAACAGACUUACUAUUGAGCUUGGAAAGCUUGAAAACCCUAGCCAUGGUUUCUCCCAUGCUAGUUUCGGCCUCCGUGAAAAAGAUGAGUAAAUUUUGGCUUUAUUUUCCCUCGUUAUUUCUUUUAAUUACCAAAUGACCAAAAUGCCCUUCUUUACUAAACUUUCAAAAAUUCCAUCCAUGUCCAAUUUUUUUCCGUCACUUAGAAAUCGGUCAAAUUGCUAUUUAAGACCUCCUAAUUAAUAUUUCAAAGCAAUUUCAUACUAGAAACUUCUAGAAUGAAAGUUUUGCAACUUAUUCAAUUUAGUCCCUAACUUCAAAUUGAGCACUUUAUGCAUAGAAUUUCUUCACAAAAUUUUUACACAAUCAUGAAAUCAUAUCAUAGACCUCAAAAUAAUCAUAAAAUAAUUAUUUUUAUCUCAAAUUUUGUGGUCUCAAAACCUCUAUUCCAACUAGACCCAAUUUUAGGCUAUUACAAGGUCUUGCUAUCGCUUUAUGGUGGCGCCAUGCAAAGGUUAGAAUGAGAGUGCCCCUUGCUCCUUAGCCCUUUACCAGACUCCCCUACGUACCAGAAGACUAAAGUUAUCCAGGAAAAACCUUUUAACAAAGCCAUCGACUUGGUCAACGACCCCCAUUUCUUCCCAAUGAUCUUCCCUUUCUGUUGGGCGCUUCGUGGCCCUAUCAGUCAGCGUGCCAAUCAACUGACCCAGUGUCAACACGGAGCAACCGCUAUUCUCGCAACGAACAACCUGUUCCUCCUUUUAUUUAAAUUAAAAUUUUUUUAAAGUCGUUGUCUGUUAAAGCGAGCUCCGCUAUUUCAGAGAGGGGAAAUGGCGUCAUUCUAUGAUAAUAGGACAUGAAAAUCUAGCAAAAGAAAAAUGGAUGUGCUAAAUGAAUAGAGGAGAGGUAAAUCAGCAAAGUAAAAGUAAGCUCCUCCCUGGAACACCAUAUGAAAGAGUGAAUUCAACGGAGUCGGUAUCAUUGAGAAAUAGAUAUCUCAGAGAUAGAUAGACAUUUCCUUUAUUAAUAUGUAACUUCGGGGGACUACCGCUUCUAGAAUGCAACCAUCAUUCUGAGAAGCAAGUAAAGGGAAUGCCUUAAGCAGCGAACACAACUAAUGAGUCUCAUGGGCAAGAUAUCCUACAUUCACUGAUUUUUAUGUUCUAUUAUAUGUCUUUUAUAAAUUGAAAAAAUUAUGUUUGAAGGGGGCGUAAGCGGAGUGAAGUCAACAGAUUGAAUCGUCUUCUCUCGAAUCAUCUUUGAAUGUACGAGUCUCAUAGCCCCUUGACCUCUUCUCUCAAAGAAGGCACUGUGUGGGCAAGUCGAUCAGAGUCAGAGCAGGGGGAAUGUUUACAGUUGUUGUAGUACGACUUUUCAUUUCCUGUUCGAUCUUUCAAAAAGUAGUCAGCUGCGGGAUAAGAAGCCUUUUAGUCAUACUUAACUUAACAUUGAUUGAAGCAACUGUUAGAGAGAAGGCUCCAGUCAGACCUGCAAGCACCGGAUAGUACGCAGCGGCAGUUUUCAAUCAUACAAUGUGUACUCAUAGUCUAACUUUUAGUGGUAGUCAGCUAUCCUCGUUCUUCUCUUUUCAUUUCCCUAUUGAGUAAGGGUCGGUGUUUGCAAAAAUGUUGAGCCGACGGGGUCAGGUACCAGUAGUGACAAUGGCAAAAAAAGGGGGGGUUGAAGAAUGGGGUGUACGACUUGGCUAGUCUUCCUUGCUGGAUGGAAGAACUUCGCCUUUCUUCCUCUUCUUGAAAUGAAAUGGAUAGAAAGAGGAUGCUCGGCCUAAAAGACUGGUGGAAAAAGCUCUUUUCGUUGCUUUGGUAAAGACCUUUUGUUGAACUAAGUCAGUCUGUUUUCAAAAAGAAGUUGUUUUCCUCUAAUGGAUUUAUUUCCGUUCAAGCCAUAAAAGCCCCGUAGCUAUAGCUAUCCAAGAGUGAAAGACUACCGGGCGAGGGCUUGUUCUUACUGAGUGAGUUGGCUAGCAUUCCUAACAAGCCUUCCUGCGAUCGAAGUCAGUUUCACUCCUUUUUUCUUGAUCCUUCUUCACAGCUUUCCCUAACCAUUUUCUCACUGCUUGGGGCUCCUUGAGUGGUGAAUGUGUCUGCGUCUUUCUUCGGUGAGCGCAGUCUCUAAUGAUUUAUCUUUCCCUUGAGGAUUUGAAGUGUAAUAAGUGUGUGGUGUCAGGGCCCUUUCCUUUUACUUUAGCCUUUUAAACUCAUGCUGCAGAAAGUGCGGAUUUUUAUUUAUCUUUCUUCUUUCUUUCUCUGCCGCUUCUUUAUUAAGUCUUUGUCUUGCAGGAGGGAUGUCAAACCAUUUUCUUCUUCCUUGAGUAUAAGAGCUUAGCGAAAGUACUUAUUUUAUUUUUUUUGAAGAAGUGAGAAUCGGGGAUAGUCCCAUUUCCUUUUUUCUUCAGAUUCCCGUAUCGAGUCCUUGAGUUCUUUCUGUCGAUAGAGUCAAUGCGAGAAGUAGGACCCUUUCGGUAGCCUCUUAGUGAGGUGCAAUGCCUUUUUUUUUGCUGCUUUUUAACAACUCUCAUGCAUCAAGGGCUUAUUUUCAUUUCUCUUGCUUGACGAAUGAAGUGCACCAUUAGUUAUGGGUCACUUCCGUCGGUCUAUCAUUCGAAGUCUUCGCUGUCUGUGAUGGGGUUGCAGGUCUGAUCUUUUGUCUUCUUUCGGAAGCUAGGAUUAGAAGGUCUUUCCUAAUUUGUAAAAAUUCCUCUAUGUUUUCAAGUUAUCCUUUAUAUUGAGUGAAGUGACUACUCGCCUAUGCUUUCUUUGUGGGUGCAUCCCUUGCGAAAUUCCCCUAGUCUCGGUCUUUUUCUCCUUUUAGUGUGUUCGUGUAUUACUUGUACUACUUUUUAGUGAUGGAAAUUAGAAAGGGUCUUUUCUUAUGUUAUUCUUUCUAGCUCUACCCGCGUGGAAGCCCCAGUAGCCUAUCUGUAGCUUCAGGAUUAAAAUAAAAGUCAUUCUUGUCCGUUCUGUCUUUCUCUAAGAGCGAGGGUUGUAGGUGUAGAAGCAGUCUUGUAGCCUUUAGUCAGCUAAGAGCCAGUUCGGUAUUGUGCUAGUAAGGUAAGAGCAGCUGUCGAUUCUGGUAGCAGAAAAAGUCUUGGAUUGGUCCAUUCGUUAAACAUUGGAAUCGGGACAUCUCUUUGCCUGCUAUUCCUUCUCUUUCUAUCUAUCCUCUAUCAUUUAUCUUUUUUCUCUUAGCGAGUGAAGUUCCUCUCAUAAUUGAUGGUUCACUUCAUGAUCCUUUACUUUAUUGUCUUUGUCUCUUGAAUAUUCGAUUUCAAGUUAAUAGGUAUUGGACCAUCCCCUAGCCUUUAUGUUGGGGCAUUUGCUUUGACUUUGGUUAGAAAAACUGCUUUCCCUCCUUAUUUCUUCUUUUUCGAAUGAAGUGACUCACUCUUGUGUGUCAAGAAGGCUCUAAAACAUUUGAUUCUUGCUUUAGUUGUUGUACCAGAAAAAGAAGCAAGUGCUGACUUUUCUUUCUUCCCUAGAUGAGCUACCGUGGGUGUGGGAAGAGCCUUUUCAAUUUACAAUUUUCAUUCUUGUUGUAAGGAUUGGCAGUCUGGGAAGUGGCUUAUGUGGUUGUGUUCCCAUUCCCGGUAGUUUCUUUAAGUCGUAGGCUUGAUUUAAUCUUUUAUGUGACAGCCCUAAAGUGACCCUAGUCGGAAAGCAGUUUCGGGACCGCUAAACCGAGUCACUAAAUUAUUUGAAUAUGAUAUUUAUUGUCUAAAAUAUGUGACUAUGAAUGUGUGAAGGUUUUAAGCUUCGAUUUAGUUAAUUGCACGUGAAUUUAGUUAAUAGGACUUAUGUGUGACACUUUUGAAAUGUGAUAGGUUAAUCUAUAAGGAUCUAUUAGUGCAUAUAAUCAUAAAGGUGGACUUGCAUGUCAAUUUUCCCCCUUAAAUAGUAGUGGCCGGCCAUGACAAGGUGGAUAGACAAAUUGUGAUGGGUAAAACAUAUUAUGAAAAGUUUAUGACAACAUGUUGUGUUAAGAACAAUAAAAUAUGUGGGGAGUGGGAGGAGAAACCAAAGUUGUUUCAUCCUUGCUCCCCCAUUUUGCCGAAACUAGAAGAGAAAAUAAAAGGCUUCAUUCUUUGGUUCAUCUUGGCCGAAUUGAAAAGAGGAAGAAGGGGAUGAAGCAAUCGGCCAUCUUAGGUGAAUAUUAAGGUAAGAAAGUUUAUGCUAGUCCUUGAAAUUUUAGUUGAUAUUGAGUGAGUUAUCAAGUUAUUUUUGGUAACCCAUGUUGAAAUUUUGAUUUUGGAUUGAGUAAGGUUUUCGGCUAUGGAGAUUAAUAAGGGUGAUGGUUAUGUUUCAUGCUAAAUCUAGAUGAACAAUUGUAGAUGCUUACACCUUGAUAUUUAUGAGUUCCUUUCUUGGUUCUACCUUAGAUCCAUGAAGUAUAUUUUCAUUUGGUGUUGUUGGAGAUUUCGGUCAUGGGUAGAAAAAAAAGGAACUAUAGAUUUUGAGGUUUAUGUUAGAAGCUAAUGAGUGAGAGUUGGAUGAAUAUUAGGAGGUUAUAAUUCAUGGGAUUGUAAGCUUGUAAGCUUGAUGAUGAAAUUUAUGCUUUGUGAAGGUAAAUGGUUUAAAAGGAGCAUUCGGCCAUGAUGUAAGAUUAUGAUGAAGUGAUGUUAAAUGCUUUGAAUAUUGAGUAUAUAUUGUUAUAAGUUGAAUUUGAGGUUUGUUAAGUUGUCUUUGUCAUUGCCGAAUGUGUGUAUAGUUAAAGAAAACUUGUUAAAGUGCUUAGUUAAGUGAUAUUAGGUUAAUGAUAUGUGUAUCCGGUCAUAAAGGUGUACAUGAGGAAAUGUUAGAUUAAUUAUGUUAAAUUACUCAAUGUGAUUAAAAAUGCGUAUGAUCAUUUUGUAUUUGAGCUAAAGGUGGCCAUAUGACCUAUCAAAUUCCUUGUCAUAUUCGGCCAUAAGCUAGCAUAAUGAGACUUUAAUAAGUUAAAUUUAUUUGAAUUAGCUCAAGAGCAAAGGGGAACUAAAUCCGAUAAAGGGAAGGAAAAAGUGGUCGAAUAACCAUCGAAAUCGUUCGACAACAUCCGAGGUAAGUUUUCGAGUAACGAGACUUAGUUUACGAUUUGAUUAAGUCAUGACGUAUGAGCAUAACAAAUAUACGGUGAUAUGAUGAUUCUACUUGAAUUAUAUGUUGAGUUAAUUAGUCUAUACGUAUGACGGGUAGCCGUAUGUGCAUAGAGAUCGUGUCAUAAAGCAAACUAAACCAUGCUGUUUGUAUGUGGCUAGUGAGCCGAAAAUGGGAUUGCUUAAUACGUGACUUGUGUUUGAACCCUAAUUAUGAAAAUGAAAUAUAGAUGUGUCAUGAUUUAUUGAUAUGUGCAUGAAUAUUUGGAUGAUAACCGGGCUAAGUCUCGAAGGCAUUUUGCGCUAGUGACUAAUUCCGGGCUAAGUCCCGAAGGCAUUUGUGCAAGUUAUUAUAUCCGGGCUAAGUCCCGAAGGCAUUUGUGCGAGUUAUUACAUCCGGGCUAAGUCCCGAAGGCAUUUGUGCGAGUUACUAUAUCCGGGCUAAGUCCCGAAGGCAUUGGCGCGAGUUACUAUAUCCGGGCUAUGUCCCGAAGGCAUUGAGCGAGUAGCUAUAUCCGGUUAAAUCCCGAAGGUACUUGGCUUGGGAAUGAGCAACCUUGCUGUAAUAGUUUCAAUUAAUAUGGUCGUAAAAUCCCAGCAAUGAGGUAUGUCUCGUAUAUGCAUUGAUUUAGUUGAUCCCUUACAAUUAGUAUUCGCUCAAUCGGUAAAUGAGCUACCGGCCUUUGGCUAAGUUGAUCUUUUGUGUAUGAAUAUAAGGGUUGGUAAUGUGAAGUAAGUAUGAUAUUGAGAAUUUGUGCAUAUGAAAUUAUCCGUUUAGCCAUAUGAAUGUUACACUUUAGUUGUGUCAAAUUUUAUGGCUCAAAACUUACUAAGCAUUAAAUGCUUACUCCGUUUCUUUGAAUCUCUGUUUUAUAGAUUUUGGUUCGUCAGCUAUCGGACUCGGGAUUAUUGAAGUCGAAGUCGCCCACACUAUCAAAGCCCCUUUUGGUACACUUUUGGUUGAACUUUGAAAUGGCAUGUAUAGGACUACCCGUUUUGUUGUUGGUCAUGGACCCUUUGGUUUUGUAUAAAUUUGGAUAGCCAUGCGAAAAUGGCUUAUAUACACUUUGAGCUUAGUAUUAUAAUCAUCUUGUAUGAUGUUCAUUAAGAGGUAUGGAAAUGUUUGGGAACGAUUAGCCGUUGGAAUGGUUAAGCAUGAACAUAUUUUGUGCUAUAUAUGCUAAAGGGCUAGUUGAAUCAUGGAAACUAUGUAAUAGGUAAAGUCUACCUUAAAAAUAGAUGCUGAUAGCAGCAGUGAUGUGAAUGUGAAAAAUCACUAAAAAUAGUAGGAAUGGAAUUAAAUAGUGAAUAAAUUAUGUAAUCGAACCUUGAUGAAUCUAUUUUCUUAGGAAAGUAACGAAAUGAUCAUAUGAACAGCAUAUUAUGAGAUAUUUAAGUUUUCGCGAAACAGGACCAGAACGGUUUCUGGAUUCCCUGUUCCGACUUUGGAAAUUCAUUAUAAAUUAACCAGAGAUAAUUAAAAGUCAUGCCAUAUAUGUAUAGAUUUAUUUUCGAGUCUAGUUUCCAUAGAAAUAAACGGCAUCAGUAUUGAAGCCUUGUACAGGGAGAUAUCUAAGUCCCAAUGCAGGAAGAUUAGGGUAGUCGAACCCUGUAACAGGGGAGACUUUAACUAAUAAACUAUACUAAUUGGCUCGACUAAAAAUUCUAGAAAAAACUUUGUGGAUGAAUAUAUGAGUCUAGUUUCAGGGAAAAAUUACGAAACUGAUUUUCGAGUUUUGGAACUCAAGAUAUGAUUUUUAAGGUGACAGUGACACAGUUAGUCAGCUGUCUGGAAAUUUUUAAAAUGGAUUGUGAAAAUAAGUGAAUUAAGUCUGUUAACCCCUCGUGUCCGACUCCGGCAACGGUCUUGGGUACGGGGUGUUACAAUUAAAUUGGUAUCAGAGCUACGGUUUAGUCGAUUCUAGGACUACCGUAAUACGUGUGGGUCUAGCUAUACAUGCCAUUUUGUGAUUAUUUGAUAGUGUGGUGAUUUCUGACAUUUGCAAAUGUGUUUAUUUAUAGUAAUGGAUCCCGAUCCUGACCGAGCGGUAGCUGAUGAUCUUGAGAGUGUAGCGCCUGCUCCCGCACAAGGGACAGCGCCGGCGGACUCUCAACCUAUUGCUAGCAAUCUGAAUGAUGAGGCUAGGCAAGCUUUUUAUAGCGUGAUGAAUGAUUGGUUCAACCAAUACAUUCGAACAAAUACGGCUGUUCCACAACCUCCAUUCUCGACUAAUGCCACCCUCGCACCUACAAUACCUCCGGAAACUUACAAAAUAAGGUCAAAUAAGCCCCCAGUUGACAGAAUCCGAAAACACGGGGCUACUGAAUUUAAGGCUACGGAUAGCGAUGAUGCCGAGCAAGCUGAAUUUUGGUUGGACAAAACUAUUCGGGUACUCGAUGAGCUAUGUUGCACACCCGAUGAGUGCCUAAAGUGUACUAUCUCCUUGCUACGUGAUUCUGCCUACUAUUGGUGGAAUACGUUAACUUCUGUUGUGCCCAGAGAGCAAGUAACUUGGGACUUUUUCCAAACCGAGUUUCGGAAAAAAUAUAUCAGUUAGAGAUUUAUGGAUCAAAAACGGAAGGAAUUUCUUGAACUUAAACAAGGUUCCAUGUCGGUUACCGACUAUGAACGAAAAUUUGUGAGGCUUAGCCGAUAUGCGCGAGAAUGCAUUUCUUCAGAGGCCGUGAUGUGUAAACGUUUCGAGGAUGGACUGAAUGAUGAUAUAAAGCUGUGUGUUGGCAUUUUAGAAAUCCGAGAAUUUGUGGUACUCGUCGAGCGAGCUUGCAAAGCUGAGGAGCUCAGUACGGAGAAAAGAAAAGCUGAUAUGGGAGCAAAGGAGUUUCGUAAGAGGUCUUCGGGGAGGCCCUUUCAACAGUCAUCGAAGAAAUUUAGAGAUGAUUUAGGCCGAUCUAAAAACACUUCGGGCUUUUCUAGACGAGAUCGCGAUCGACCCCCUGUGAGUGCACGAGUCACUUUGGUCGCCAGGAUUGGAACUGAUCGUCGAGACAGAGCGGAGUGCCAGUAUUGUGGUAAAUGGUAUUCGGGGAGUUGUAGAUUCCAUGACCGCUCCUGUUACAAGUGCGGGUCAGUUGACCACUUUAUUAAAGAUUGCCCGAGGUUGUCUGAACAGAAUGUAAAUCAGAGUGGGAAACCGGGUGCUACCACUGCUCGAGUAAACCAUCUAGAAAUACGGGCAAUGCUAGUGGUGGUCAGAGAGGAUCUAGAGAUGCAACGACCAGAUCUGAGGCUCGUGCUCCUGCUAGAGCUUAUGCUAUACGCACACGCGAGGAUGCUUCCUCGCCAGACGUUAUUACCGGUACUUUUACUCUCUUUGAUUCUAAUGUGAUUUCUUUGAUUGACCCCGGUUCUACUCAUUCUUAUAUAUGUGAAACCUUAGCAUCCAGUAAGACUUUACCUAUUGAGUCUAUUGAGUUCGUAAUUCGGGUGUCAAAUCCCUUGGGUCGUUACGUGCUUGUCGAUAAAGUGUGUAAGAAAUGUCCCCUAGUAAUUCGAGGUUCCUGUUUUUCGGCGGACUUGAUGCUUUUGCCGUUUGAUGAAUUUGAUGUUAUCCUCAGUUUAGAUUGGUUGACCGUGCAUGAUGCGGUUGUGAAUUGCAAAAGCAAGACUAUUGAUUUGAGGUGCGCAAAUAACGAGAUAAUCCGAGUUGAGUCUACGGACUUAAAAGGGUUGCCAGCUGUAAUAUCAUCAAUGUUAGCCCAUAAAUAUGUAAGAAAGGGGUGCGAAGCAUACCUCGCGUAUGUACUUGAUGACAAAGAGUUAGAAAAGAAACCUGAAUCUGUGCCGGUGGUUUGUGAAUACCCGGAUGUUUUUCCCGAGGAAUUACCGGGUUUACCACCUGUUCGGGAGGUAGAGUUUGGUAUUGAGCUUGUACCUGGGACUACGCCGAUUUCGAUGGCUCCGUAUCGUAUGGCACCAACCGAGUUAAAAGAGUUGAAAGCUCAGUUGCAAGAAUUGACGGAUAGAGGUUUCGCUCGACCAAGUUUCUCUCCUUGGGGUGCACCAGUAUUGUUUGUGAAAAAGAAGGACGAAACCAUGAGGUUGUGCAUCGACUAUCGUCAGCUGAAUAAGGUGACAAUAAAGAAUAAAUAUCUGAUGCCACGUAUUGACGAUUUGUUUGAUCAACUAAAGGGAGCCUUAGUGUUUUCGAAGAUAGAUUUAAGAUUGGGUUAUUACCAGUUGCGAGUUCGAGAUUCAGAUAUACCCAAAACUUCUUUCAGAACGAGAUACGGCCACUACGAGUUCUUAGUGAUGCCGUUUGGGCUCACUAAUGCCCCUGCGGUAUUUAUGGAUUUGAUGAAUCGGAUCUUUAGAUAGUAUUUGGACCGGUUCGUAGUUGUGUUUAUUGAUGACAUUUUGGUCUAUUCAAGAGAUGAGACCGAACAUGCUGAGCACCUGAGAUUAGUGUUGCAAAUUUUACGGGAUAAGCAGUUAUAUGCUAAGUUCAGUAAGUGUGAGUUCUGGUUAAGAGAGGUUAGCUUCUUGGGUCAUGUGGUAUCCGCAUCGGGUAUUCGAGUUGACCCGAGCAAAAUUUCAGCCAUACUUAACUGGAAGCCUCCGAGAAAUAUUACUGAGGUUCGGAGCUUUUUGGGACUUGCCGGUUACUACCAACGGUUUGUAAAAGAUUUCUCGAUGAUAGCCACACCAAUUACGAAGCUACUUCAAAAAGAUGUUAAGUUCGAAUGGACGGAAAAAUGUCAGAAAAGUUUUGAUCAACUGAAAACUUAUUUGACUGAAGCUCCAGUACUAGUGCAGCCCGAAUCAGGCAAAGAGUUUGUCAUUUAUAACGAUGCAUCCCUACUUGGGUUAGGUUGCGUAUUGAUGCAAGAAGGUCGAGUUGUGGCCUAUGCGUCGAGACAAUUAAAGCCACAUGAGAAAAAUUAUCCGACCCAUGAUCUCGAAUUAGCUGCCAUCGUAUUCGCUUUGAAAAUAUGGCGACAUUACUUAUUUGGUGAGAAGUGCCAUGUAUUUUCGGAUCACAAAAGUCUCAAAUAUUUGAUGACUCAAAGAGACUUAAAUCUGCGACAAAGACGUUGGCUGGAGUUGUUGAAAGAUUAUGAGCUUGUCAUUGACUAUCACCCGAGAAAGGCUAAUGUGGUUGCGGAUGCCUUAAGUCGUAAAUCACUGUUUGCUUUGCGAGCAAUGAACGUACACUUGUCCGAUCUAUCCGACAACGUGUUAGUAGCUGAAUUAAAGGCCAAACCAUUAUUGAUUCAUCAAAUUCGGGAGGCUCAGAAAGUCGAUGGCGAAUUGGUUGCAAAACGGGCUGAAUGUGUUUCGAACAUGGAAUCAGAGUUUCAAAUUGAUGACGACGAUUGUUUGAGGUUCCGAAGUCGUUUGUGCGUUCCAAGGAAUUCAGAACUUAUUUCGAUGAUUCUGAACGAAGCUCAUUGUAGCCGAAUGUCAAUUCACCCGGGGAGUACGAAAAUGUACCACGACCUAAGACGUCAGUUUUGGUGGCAUGGUAUGAAACGAGACAUUUCCGAUUUUGUCUCGAAGUGCUUAGUAUGUCAGCAAGUGAAGGCGAAACAUCAAGUGCCUACGGGUUUACUUCAGCCGAUCAUGAUACCUGAAUGGAAAUGGGAUAGAAUCACGAUGGAUUUUGUGUCUGGGUUGCCAUUGUCGACAAGUAAGAAAGAUGCGAUUUGGGUUGUUGUUGAUAGACUGACUAAGUCGGCUCAUUUUAUCCCCGUACGUACGGAUUUUUCAUUGGAUAAACUAGCUGAAUUGUAUGUUUCUCAGAUUGUGAGAUUACCGGGGUACCGAUUUCUAUUGUGUCGGAUAGAGAUCCGAGAUUCACUUCGCGAUUUUGGAAGAAAUUGCAAGAAGCUUUGGGUACCAAGCUGCAUUUUAGCACAGCUUUUCAUCCACAAACCGAUGGUCAAUCCGAGCGGAUAAUUCAGAUACUUGAGGAUAUGUUGAGAUGUUGCAUCCUCGAGUUUAGUGGCUCAUGGGAGAGGUAUUUACCCUUGAUUGAAUUCGCUUACAACAAUAGUUUUCAAUCAAGUAUUAACAUGGCGCCUUACGAGGCUUUGUACGGGCAUAAAUGCCGUACACCAUUUUUUUGGACCGAGCUCGAUGAAAGUAAAGUUUUUGGAAUUGAUUUGAUUAAAGAUGCUGAAUAGAAAGUAAAAGUAAUCCGUGAAAGUCUGAAGGCAGCCACAGAUCGUCAGAAAUCGUAUGCGGAUUUGAAACAAAAAGACAUUGAAUAUCAGGUGGGAGAUAAAGUGUUUCUUAAAGUUUCACCUUGGAAAAAGAUACUCAGAUUUGGCCGUAAGGGCAAGUUGAGUCUGAGAUUCAUUGGGCCGUACAAAAUCUCCGAACGAGUUGGUCCAGUUGCGUAUAGAUUGAUUUUGCCCCCUGAACUUGAAAAGAUUCACGACGUCUUUCAUGUUUCGAUGCUUCGACGUUAUAGAUCUGAUCCGCCACACGUAAUUAAUCUAUCAGAGGUUGAAAUUCAAUCCGACAUGAGUUAUAAAGAAGAGCCGAUUCGUAUCCUAGCUCGUGAAAGUAAAGAGUUACGAAACAAAAAGGUUCCUUUUGUAAAAGUGUUAUGGCUCAAACACGGGAUAGAAGAAGCUACUUGGGAACCCGAGAACUCUAUGAAAGAGCGAUACCCAAACCUAUUUACCGGUAAGAUUUUCGGGGACGAAAAUUUCUUAAGUGGGGGAGAGUUGUGACAGCCCUAAAGUGACCCUAGUCAGAAAGCGGUUUCGGGACCGCUAAACCGAGUCACUAAAUUAUUUGAAUAUGAUAUUUAUUGUCUAAAAUAUGUGAAUAUGAAUGUGUGAAAGUUUUAAGCUUCGAUUUAGUUAAUUGCACGUGAAUUUCGUUAAUAGGACUUAUGUGUGACACUUUUGAAAUGUGAUAGGUUAAUCUAUAAGGAUCUAUUAGUGCAUAUAAUCAUAAAGGUGGACUUGCAUGCCAAUUUUCCCCCUUAAAUAGUAGUGGCCGACCAUGACAAGGUGGAUAGACAAAUUGUGAUGGGUAAAACAUAUUAUGAAAAGUUUAUGACAACAUGUUGUGUUAAGAACAAUAAAAUAUGUGGGGAGUGGGAGGAGAAACCAAAGUUGUUUCAUCCUUGCUCCCCCAUUUUGCCGAAACUAGAAGAGAAAAUAAAAGGCUUCAUUCUUUGGUUCUUCUUGGCCGAAUUGAAAAGAGGAAGAAGGGGAUGAAGCAAUCGGCCAUCUUAGGUGAAUAUUAAGGUAAGAAAGUUUAUGCUAGUCCUUGAAAUUUUAGUUGAUAUUGAGUGAGUUAUCAAGUUAUUUUUGGUAACCCAUGUUGAAAUUUUGAUUUUGGAUUGAGUAAGGUUUUUGGCUAUGGAGAUUAAUAAGGGUGAUGGUUAUGUUUCAUGCUAAAUCUAGAUGAACAAUGGUAGAUGCUUACACCUUGAUAUUUAUGAGUUCCUUUCUUGGUUCUACCUUAGAUCCAUGAAGUAUAUUUUCAUUUGGUGUUGUUGGAGAUUUCGGUCAUGGGUAGAAAAAAAGGAACUAUAGAUUUUGAGGUUUAUGUUAGAAGCUAAUGAGUGAGAGUUGGAUGAAUAUUAGGAGGUUAUAAUUCAUGGGAUUGUAAGCUUGUAAGCUUGAUGAUGAAAUUUAUGCUUUGUGAGGGUAAAUGGUUUAAAAGGAGCAUUCGGCCAUGAUGUAAGAUUAUGAUGAAGUGAUGUUAAAUGCUUUGAAUAUUGAGUAUAUAUUGUUAUAAGUUGAAUUUGAGGUUUGUUAAGUUGUCUUUGUCAUUGCCGAAUGUGUGUAUAGUUAAAGAAAACUUGUUAAAGUGCUUAGUUAAGUGAUAUUAGGUUAAUGAUAUGUGUAUCCAGUCAUAAAGGUGUACAUGAGGAAAUGUUAGAUUAAUUGUGUUAAAUUGCUCAAUGUGAUUAAAAAUGCGUAUGACCAUUUUGUAUUUGAGCUAAAGGUGGCCAUAUGACCUAUCAAACUCCUUGUCAUAUUCGGCCAUAAGCUAGCAUAAUGAGACUUUAAUAAGUUAAAUUUGUUUGAAUUAGCUCAAGAGCAAAGGGGAACUAAAUCCGAUAAAGGGAAGGAAAAAGUGGUCGAAUAGCCAUCGAAAUCGUUCGACAACAUCUGAGGUAAGUUUUCGAGUAACGAGACUUAGUUUACGAUUUGAUUAAGUCAUGACGUAUGAGCAUAACAAAUAUACGGUGAUAUGAUGAUUCUACUUGAAUUAUAUGUUGAGUUAAUUAGUCUAUAUGUAUGACGGGUAGCCGUAUGUGCAUAGAGAUCGUGUCAUAAAGCAAACUAAACCAUGCUAUUUGUAUGUGGCUAGUGAGCCGAAAAUGGGAUUGCUUAAUACGUGACUUGUGUUUGAACCCUAAUUAUGAAAAUGAAAUAUAGAUGUGUCAUGAUUUAUUGAUAUGUGCAUGAAUAUUUGGAUGAUAACCGGGCUAAGUCCCGAAGGCAUUUUGCGCUAGUGACUAGUUCCGGGCUAAGUCCCGAAGGCAUUUGUGCGAGUUAUUACAUCCGAGCUAAGUCCCGAAGGCAUUUGUGCGAGUUAUUACAUCCGGGCUAAGUCCCGAAGGCAUUUGUGCGAGUUACUAUAUCCGGGCUAAGUCCCGAAGGCAUUGGCGCGAGUUACUAUAUCCGGGCUUUGUCUCGAAGGCAUUGGCGCGAGUUACUAUAUCCGGGCUAUGUCCCGAAGGCAUUGAGCGAGUAGCUAUAUCCGGUUAAAUCCCGAAGGUACUUGGCUUGGGAAUGAGCGACCUUGCUGUAAUAGUUUCAAUUAAUAUUCUCGUAAAAUCCCAGCAAUGAGGUAUGUCUCGUAUAUGCAUUGAUUUAUUUGAUCUCUUACAAUUAGUAUUCGCUCAGUCGGUAAAUGAGCUACCGGCCUUUGGCUAAGUUGAUCUUUUGUGUAUGAAUAUAAGGGUUGGUAAUGUGAAGUAAGUAUGAUAUUGAGAAUUUGUGCAUAUGAAAUUAUCCAUUUAGCCAUAUGAAUGUUACACUUUAGUUGUGUCAAAUUUUAUGGCUCAAAACUUACUAAGCAUUAAAUGCUUACUCCGUUUCUUUGAAUCUCUGUUUUAUAGAUUUUGGUUCGUCAGCUAUCGGACUCGGGUUUAUUGAAGUCGAAGUCGCCCACACUAUCAAAGCCCCUUUUGGUACACUUUUGGUUGAACUUUGAAAUGGCAUGUAUAGGACUACCCGUUUUGUUGUUGGUCAUGGACCCUUUGGUUUUGUAUAAAUUUGGAUAGCCAUGCGAAAAUGGCUUAUAUACACUUUGAGCUUAGUAUUAUAAUCAUCUUGUAUGAUGUUCAUUAAGAGGUAUGGAAAUGUUUGGGAACGAUUAGCCGUUGGAAUGGUUAAUCAUGAUCAUAUUUUGUGCUAUAUAUGCUAAAGGGCUAGUUGAAUCAUGGAAACUAUGUAAUAGGUAAAGUCUACCUUAAAAAUAGAUGCUGAUAGCAGCAGUGAUGUGAAUGUGAAAAAUCACUAAAAAUAGUUGGAAUGGAAUUAAAUAGUGAAUAAAUUAUGUAAUCUAACCUUGAUGAAUCUAUUUUCUUAGGAAAAUAAGGAAACGAUCAUAUGAACAGUAUAUUAUGAGAUAUUUAAGUUUUCGCGAAACAGGGCCAGAACAGUUUCUGGAUUCCCUGUUCCGACUUUGGAAAUUCAUUAUAAAUUAACCAGAGAUAAUUAAAAGUCAUGCCAUAUAUGUAUAGAUUCCUUUUCGAGUCUAGUUUCCAUAGAAAGAAACGGCAUCAGUAUUGAAGCCCUGUACAGGGAGAUAUCUAAGUCGCAAUGCAGGAAGGUCAGGGUAGUCGAACCCUGUAAUAGGGGAGACUUUAACUAAUAAACUGUACUAAUUGGAUCGACCAAAAAUUCUAGAAAAAAAUUUGUGGAUGGAUAUAUGAGUCUAGUUUCAGGUAAGAAUUACAAAACUGAUUUUUGAGUUUUGGAACUCAAGAUAUGAUUUUUAAGGUGACAGUGACGCAGUUAGUCAGCUGUCUGGAAAUUUUUAAAAUGGACUGUGAAAAUAAGUGAAUUAAGUCUGUUAACCCCUCGUGUCCGACUCCGGAAACGGUCUCGGGUACGGGGUGUUACAUUUUGUAACUCAUGAAGUGAAUUUUCUUCUUGCCUUAUUGCCUUGAGUUCUAUUGUGGUAUAAGUAAGGCAUUGGGUAAGCAGCGGAGGUACGUAAAGAGGUGUCUGCGCAGUUCGGAUCCUUUAUUGUGGUAAGGGACAUUGUCUCACCCGCUCUAAUCUAUCUGUCUCCUCCUUCCAUAAAGGGGAAGUAAGCCCUAGGAGGGGAGAAAUAAAAAAGAAAGAAAGGAAUUCGCACUGAACCAACUUGCUACUUGCUGCAAGAUAACUGGCAGAGAAGACCGUCUUCGCUCACCUAGAUCGACAUAGAAAGAUUUAGCUAUAAUAUAACUACUGCCUUCAAGCUUUAAACUGAUAGACCG
This 26508-nucleotide long non-coding RNA is filed under the name Gossypium barbadense (sea-island cotton). Its description in RNAcentral is "long non-coding RNA (GBAR_LNC012450)". The record is from RNAcentral. Lineage: Eukaryota; Viridiplantae; Streptophyta; Magnoliopsida; Malvales; Malvaceae.